AUGGCCAUUAUCACAUUGAAACACGGGUUCCUAUACAAUCACCAAAGUUAAGCAACACUGACUCUGGUCAGUACCUAGAUGGGUGACUGCUUGGAAAUAACAAGUGCUGUAAG
Non-coding RNA from Acanthosepion pharaonis, 113 nucleotides. The record is from the annotation of a GenBank genome assembly. Lineage: Eukaryota; Metazoa; Mollusca; Cephalopoda; Sepiida; Sepiidae.